This 550-nucleotide ribosomal RNA is filed under the name uncultured archaeon. RNAcentral's name for it is "bacterial SSU rRNA". It matches the Rfam family "Archaeal small subunit ribosomal RNA", at positions 325 to 879 of the family's 1478-position model. The record is from RNAcentral.
ACGGGGUGCAGCAGGCGCGAAAACUUUACAAUGCGGGAAACCGUGAUAAGGGGACCCCGAGUGCCUGUACACGCAGGCUGUUCAGGUGUUUAAAACGCAUCUGGAGAAAGGGCCGGGCAAGACCGGUGCCAGCCGCCGCGGUAAUACCGGCGGCUCGAGUGGUGGCCACUAUUACUGGGCUUAAAGCGUCCGUAGCCGGGUUGUUAAGUCUCCUGGGAAAUCCAACGGCUCAACCGUUGGGCGUUCAGGGGAUACUGGCAAUCUAGGGAUCGGGGGAGGUGAGAGGUACUCUAGGGGUAGGAGUGAAAUCCUGUAAUCCUUGGGGGACCACCUGUGGCGAAGGCGUCUCACCAGAACGACUCCGACGGUGAGGGACGAAAGCUGGGGGAGCAAACCGGAUUAGAUACCCGGGUAGUCCCAGCUGUAAACGAUGCGCGUUAGGUGUAUCGGUGACUACGAGUUACCGAGGUGCCGAAGGGAAACCGUGAAACGUGCCGCCUGGGAAGUACGGCCGCAAGGCUGAAACUCAAAGGAAUUGGCGGGGGAGCAC